GACGAACGCUGGCGGCGUGCUUAACACAUGCAAGUCGAACGGAAAGGCCCUGCUUUUGUGGGGUGCUCGAGUGGCGAGCGGGUGAGUAACACGUGAGUAACCUGCCCUUGACUUUGGGAUAACUUCAGGAAACUGGGGCUAAUACCGGAUAGGAGCUCCUGCUGCAUGGUGGGGGUUGGAAAGUUUCGGCGGUUGGGGAUGGACUCGCGGCUUAUCAGCUUGUUGGUGGGGUAGUGGCUUACCAAGGCUUUGACGGGUAGCCGGCCUGAGAGGGUGACCGGCCACAUUGGGACUGAGAUACGGCCCAGACUCCUACGGGAGGCAGCAGUGGGGAAUAUUGCACAAUGGGCGGAAGCCUGAUGCAGCAACGCCGCGUGCGGGAUGACAGCCUUCGGGUUGUAAACCGCUUUCGCCUGUGACGAAGCGUGAGUGACGGUAAUGGGUAAAGAAGCACCGGCUAACUACGUG
Molecule: ribosomal RNA, 468 nt
Filed under: uncultured bacterium
Lineage: Bacteria
Description: partial 16S ribosomal RNA
Rfam family: Bacterial small subunit ribosomal RNA
Source: RNAcentral